This 253-nucleotide ribosomal RNA is filed under the name uncultured bacterium. Its description in RNAcentral is "partial 16S ribosomal RNA". It matches the Rfam family "Bacterial small subunit ribosomal RNA", at positions 524 to 776 of the family's 1533-position model. The record is from RNAcentral.
UACAGAGGUCUCAAGCGUUGUUCGGAUUCAUUGGGCGUAAAGGGUGUGUAGGUGGCGCGUUAAGUCGGGUGUGAAAUUUCGGAGCUUAACUCCGAAACUGCAUUCGAUACUGGCGUGCUUGAGGACUGGAGAGGAAACUGGAAUUUACGGUGUAGCAGUGAAAUGCGUAGAGAUCGUAAGGAAGACCAGUGGCGAAGGCGAGUUUCUGGACAGUUACUGACGCUGAGGCACGAAGGCCAGGGGAGCAAACGGG